Manis javanica (Malayan pangolin) is the source of this 1102-nucleotide long non-coding RNA. RefSeq lists it as uncharacterized. The record is from RefSeq and is a predicted model, not a curated record. NCBI's taxonomy places the organism in Eukaryota, Metazoa, Chordata, Mammalia, Pholidota, Manidae.
UGUAGCAGGAGAAUGAUGGUUCCCCAAAGACGCCUCCGCCUAAUCCUUGGGGCCUCUGAAUAUAUUAUUUUAUAGGGCAAAUGUUCUCAGCUGUGAUUAAGGUUCUUGAGAUGAUGGGAAGAUUAUACCAGACAGAGUAUCCGAAUUGGAUUAACGAAAUUACAAAUAUAUUUAUAAAUAAGAGAGAGAAAAAAAAAGAGAAGGAGAUAUUGUAAUAGCACCACAGUUCAGAAUCCGAGAGAUUUUUUAAGAUGCUGCUCUGCCCGCGUUGAAGAUGCAUGAAGGGUUCGCAGCUCAAGGAAUUCAGCUGAGGUGACCUUGAGAAGCUGGAACAUGGAAGUGCUUCCAUUCCUUUUAUUUCUCCUUUGGCUGCCAAUGGUAUGUACAGAGAAUACCCAACGACACUCACCCCCAGCAAGUCUCACCAUCACCCUAGUAGAUGGCUUCCCGGCUCGAGGGGGCACUUCAAUCAAGUAGAACCUGUGGACCUGUGAAUAGGAAGAGCAGGGGAGUCAGAGUGUCAUCAGGGGAAAUAAGUUGGCUGUCGACCAAGAGAUACAAGAGGCCGGCUUUACUCUGGCAGUCUGUCCCAGAUCCUGUGUGCAGACUUGAGGUAGAAAUCAACUUUUGCCAGCACUCAAUGGAUAUGGAAAUCACCUUUUGCCAGCAUACUGUUUAUCAGGAGUAGACUGACUUAGCUCUCAGAGGCUGAUAUAUACGUUGCAAUGUCAACUUUUUAUUUUGCAAUGAGAAAUACUGCUUACUUCUUGUUGAUUAAUGUAUUUUCUCCAUUGAGAUGAUUUGCAUAGGAAACCAACACAUUUUCAAGAACUGCUUGGUAGUCAUGAAGUCUGAAUAAAGGGGAGGAUUUUUAGUAAUAAUUGCUUCUGGUAAUCUUAUGCAUCUCUCUGCCCAGUAGAAAUACACCUGUCUCUAGAACUAGAGAGCUCAUACAUCUCAUUAUAGUAGUUGAAUAGCACUGGUAUUAUUUUCUCCUCCGACCCUAAUAUUUUUUUUCUAUUUUUAUUAUUGACCAGUCCUUUCAACUGGCAUAUUUCAAACAACAUCUGCUUGUGAUAUUAAGAUGCACUCCCUUCCCAAG